This 253-nucleotide ribosomal RNA is filed under the name uncultured bacterium. RNAcentral's name for it is "partial 16S ribosomal RNA". It matches the Rfam family "Bacterial small subunit ribosomal RNA", at positions 524 to 776 of the family's 1533-position model. The record is from RNAcentral.
UACGUAGGCAGCAAGCGUUGUUCGGAAUUACUGGGUGUAAAGAGUGUGUAGGCGGUGCUCUAAGUUCGGUGUGAAAUCUCCCGGCUCAACUGGGAGGGUGCGCCGAAAACCGGGGUGCUGGAGCGCGGGAGAGGAAAGCGGAAUUCCUGGUGUAGCGGUGAAAUGCGUAGAUAUCAGGAGGAACACCGGCGGUGUAGACGGCUUUCUGGACCGUAGCUGACGCUGAGACACGAAAGCGUGGGUAGCAAACAGG